GUGGGGAAUCUUGCGCAAUGGGCGAAAGCCUGACGCAGCCAUGCCGCGUGAAUGAUGAAGGUCUUAGGAUUGUAAAAUUCUUUCACCGGGGACGAUAAUGACGGUACCCGGAGAAGAAGCCCCGGCUAACUUCGUGCCAGCAGCCGCGGUAAUACGAAGGGGGCUAGCGUUGCUCGGAAUUACUGGGCGUAAAGGGCGCGUAGGCGGACAGUUUAGUCAGAGGUGAAAGCCCAGGGCUCAACCUUGGAAUUGCCUUUGAUACUGGCUGUCUUGAGUACGGGAGAGGUGAGUGGAACUCCGAGUGUAGAGGUGAAAUUCGUAGAUAUUCGGAAGAACACCAGUGGCGAAGGCGACUCACUGGCCCAAUACUGACGCUGAGGCGCGAAAGCGUGGGGAGCAAACAGGAUUAGAAACCCGUGUAGUCC
Molecule: ribosomal RNA, 425 nt
Filed under: uncultured bacterium
Lineage: Bacteria
Description: partial 16S ribosomal RNA
Rfam family: Bacterial small subunit ribosomal RNA
Source: RNAcentral